GAUGAACGCUGGCGGCAUGCCUAAUACAUGCAAGUCGAACGAAACUUCUUUAUCACCGAGUGCUUGCACUCACCGAUAAAGAGUUGAGUGGCGAACGGGUGAGUAACACGUGGGCAACCUGCCCAAAAGAGGGGGAUAACACUUGGAAACAGGUGCUAAUACCGCAUAACCAUAGUUACCGCAUGGUAACUAUGUAAAAGGUGGCUAUACUACCGCUUUUGGAUGGGCCCGCGGCGCAUUAGCUAGUUGGUAGGGUAAAGGCUUACCAAGGCAAUGAUGCGUAGCCGAAUUGAGAGGUUGAUCGGCCACAUUGGGACUGAGACACGGCCCAAACUCCUACGGGAGGCAGCAGUAGGGAAUCUUCCACAAUGGGCGAAAGCCUGAUGGAGCAACGCCGCGUGGGUGAAGAAGGUCUUCGGAUCGUAAAACCCUGUUGUUAGAGAAGAAAGUGCGUGAGAGUAACUGUUCACGUUUCGACGGUAUCUAACCAGAAAGCCACUGCUAACUACGUG
Molecule: ribosomal RNA, 512 nt
Filed under: uncultured bacterium
Lineage: Bacteria
Description: partial 16S ribosomal RNA
Rfam family: Bacterial small subunit ribosomal RNA
Source: RNAcentral